CUAUGAGAUUUCUACUCUCCAACAACGAUGCA
RNAcentral lists this small RNA (32 nucleotides) under Arabidopsis thaliana (thale cress). Its description in RNAcentral is "ATSL138180". The record is from RNAcentral. Lineage: Eukaryota; Viridiplantae; Streptophyta; Magnoliopsida; Brassicales; Brassicaceae.